AUAAUAAGUAGUUUUAUGGCACUUUUUAAAUCCAUAUCCACCUUGUGUAGCAAUGUCGGUCGAUCUUCUUCAUGGAGAUCGACCAAACAUCAACCUUUAUCUUUUACUCUUUGUCUGAAAAUAUUAUGAAUAAACAAUUCAAAAUA
RNAcentral lists this unclassified non-coding RNA (146 nucleotides) under soil metagenome. RNAcentral's name for it is "partial internal transcribed spacer 1". The record is from RNAcentral.